Molecule: long non-coding RNA, 656 nt
Filed under: Nicotiana tabacum (common tobacco)
Lineage: Eukaryota; Viridiplantae; Streptophyta; Magnoliopsida; Solanales; Solanaceae
Description: long non-coding RNA (NTAB_LNC006427)
Source: RNAcentral
GAGGAACAUUCAUGGCGGGGCGGUAACUAUGGUUCCUUAGGAUGUAUUUGAUGGCCCAAAUAAAUUUUAUGCGAUCAUGGUCCGGGGGGCCCGGACCCACUCGGAAGGCGUGGGCUUAGCACACGAAAAUAUGGGAAUCCGGUGGAAUUCUAGUAUUUUGGCCGUAAAACGCAAAACAACGAGGAACGGCCAUGGUGGGGCGGUGACUAUGGUUCCUUAGGUCGUAUUUAAUGGCCUAGAAUAAUUUUAGGCGAUCGGGGUCCGAGGGCCCGGACCCACUCGGAAAGCGUGGGCUAUAGAACACGAUUAUAUGGGAAUCAGGCGGAAUUCUAGUUUUUUGGCCGUAAAACGCAAAACAAUGAGGAACGACCAUGGCGGGGCGGUGACUAUGGUUCCUUAGGUCGUAUUUGAUAGCCCAGAAAUAUUUUAGGAGAUCGGGGUCCGGGGGGCCCGGAACCCACUAGGAAGGCGUGGGUUAUAGCACACGAGUAUUUGGGAAUCGAGCGGAAUUCUAGUUUUUUGGCUGUAAAACGUAAAACAACGAGGAACGGCCAUGGUGGGGCGGUGACUAUGGUUCCUUAGGUCGUAUUUUAUGGCCUGGAAAAAUGUUAGGCAAUCGGAGUCCAGGGGCUCGGACCCACUCUGAAGGCAUGGGC